RNAcentral lists this ribosomal RNA (538 nucleotides) under uncultured fungus. RNAcentral describes it as "eukaryotic LSU rRNA". The stretch from base 168 to 321 matches the Rfam family "5.8S ribosomal RNA". Lineage: Eukaryota; Fungi. The record is from RNAcentral.
UCUGGCUGGAUGCUGUUGUGCUGGCCCUUUGGUGCAAUGUGCACACACUUCUGGUUGUCUGUUUCUUCUGUUCCACCUGUGCACUGCCUGUAGACACUCUGUGUCUAUGAUAUUGGUUACACACACAUGAUGUUUUGCAUAUUGGUUACAUAUGUAUGAUAAUAUACAACUUUCAACAACGGAUCUCUUGGCUCUCGCAUCGAUGAAGAACACAGCGAAAUGUGAUAAGUAAUGUGAAUUGCAGAAUCCAGUGAAUCAUCGAAUCUUUGAACGCAUCUUGCGCUCCUUGGCAUUCCGAGGAGCAUGCCUGUUUGAGUGUCAUUAAACUAUCAAAGCACCUUUCCUGGGGUGUUUUGGACUUUGGGAGUAUUUUGCUGGCCUGUUUGAGCCAGCUCUCCUCAAAAGCAUUAGCUUUGGAGACCAUCAGUGUGAUAACUCUCUUUACACUGACUGAGUGUGUCUCUGCUUCUUAAAUAUGCUGGACACCCUUUGACCUCAAAUCAGGUAGGACUACCCGCUGAACUUAAGCAUAUCAAUA